Molecule: ribosomal RNA, 431 nt
Filed under: uncultured bacterium
Lineage: Bacteria
Description: bacterial SSU rRNA
Rfam family: Bacterial small subunit ribosomal RNA
Source: RNAcentral
UUUCGAAUCAUUCACAAUGGGCAUAAGCCUGAUGGUGCGACGCCGCGUGAGGGAUGAAGGCCUUCGGGUUGUAAACCUCUGUCACUGGGGAAGAAACGCUUCAAGUUAAUAGCUUGAAGCCUGACUUAACCCAGAGAGGAAGCAGUGGCUAACUCUGUGCCAGCAGCCGCGGUAAUACAGAGACUGCAAGCGUUAUUCGGAUUCACUGUGCGGAAAGGGUGCGCAGGCGGCCGUGUGUGUUAGGUGUGAAAGCCCGAGGCUUAACCUCGGAAUUGCGCCUAAAACUACACGGCUAGAGCAGUGGAGAGGGUAGCAGAAUUCAUGGUGUAGCAGUGAAAUGCGUAGAUAUCAUGAGGAAUACCAGAGGCGAAGGCGGCUACCUGGACAAUUGCUGACGCUCAGGCACGAAAGCGUGGGGAGCAAAAGGGAUU